UGUAGCUCAGUGGCAAAGCGUUUACCUACCAAGUACAAUGCCCUGGGUUCGAUCCCCAGUA
This 61-nucleotide transfer RNA is filed under the name Dipodomys ordii (Ord's kangaroo rat). It matches the Rfam family "tRNA", at positions 6 to 65 of the family's 71-position model. From Rfam's summary of the family: Transfer RNA (tRNA) molecules are approximately 80 nucleotides in length. Their secondary structure includes four short double-helical elements and three loops (D, anti-codon, and T loops). Further hydrogen bonds mediate the characteristic L-shaped molecular structure. tRNAs have two regions of fundamental functional importance: the anti-codon, which is responsible for specific mRNA codon recognition, and the 3' end, to which the tRNAs corresponding amino acid is attached (by aminoacyl-tRNA synthetases). tRNAs cope with the degeneracy of the genetic code in two manners: having more than one tRNA (with a specific anti-codon) for a particular amino acid; and 'wobble' base-pairing, i.e. permitting non-standard base-pairing at the 3rd anti-codon position. The record is from Rfam by way of RNAcentral. Lineage: Eukaryota; Metazoa; Chordata; Mammalia; Rodentia; Heteromyidae.